AAACUUUCAACAACGGAUCUCUUGGCUCUCGCAUCGAUGAAGAACGCAGCAA
RNAcentral lists this ribosomal RNA (52 nucleotides) under Tuber taiyuanense. RNAcentral describes it as "partial 5.8S ribosomal RNA". It matches the Rfam family "5.8S ribosomal RNA", at positions 1 to 51 of the family's 154-position model. From Rfam's summary of the family: 5.8S ribosomal RNA (5.8S rRNA) is a component of the large subunit of the eukaryotic ribosome. Lineage: Eukaryota; Fungi; Ascomycota; Pezizomycetes; Pezizales; Tuberaceae. The record is from RNAcentral.